UUAAUAUCUUCAUUUCUUCUAUCUAGUUUCUUCAUUUCUCUGUGAUUAUUUGUUCAUUGUUCAAUCAUAUAUAUGUUGAUGGCAGCUGCUUUGUUAUUUAAAAGGUCUAGGAGCUUAGUUCAGAAUAAGGUAUCCUUGUUGUUAGGAAUAGGAGGAUCAAGAUCAACAACAACUCCGCCACCAUUGAUUAACCAUCAUCGGUUUCGAUAUUCUUCUUCUCAGCCAUUUGUUGCAUCAUCAACGCGUUAUGAAUCCAGCAAAGCACAGGCACAGUUGGAAGAUUUUCAGCAACAUGAUGAUCAGGUACGUAUGUCUAUUAUAUUUUCACCGGUUGAGUUGAGACAUUGAAUGAAUAAAGUAGAGAAGGAGAUGCAUGAAUCAAACUCUCCAAAUAUAAAUGUUUAUCUAUGUCAAAACAAAAUAUGUUUAUAAAAAAACAAAAACAAAAAUCUGUCCAAAAAAUAUAACCUUACUAAAACUUCGAUAAUUUAAAGUUUGAACGCGAGAUAAGUAAAAUUUAGUCAAUCAAACUCGGAUUUCCUUAAACGAUUAAUUCUAGAGAGAACUCGUUAAUUACUUGAGCCAAUGUCUUGGUUAAUAAUUAGUUUUUUUAAGCAAAA
RNAcentral lists this long non-coding RNA (620 nucleotides) under Trifolium pratense (red clover). RNAcentral's name for it is "long non-coding RNA (TPRA_LNC009672)". Lineage: Eukaryota; Viridiplantae; Streptophyta; Magnoliopsida; Fabales; Fabaceae. The record is from RNAcentral.